This 630-nucleotide small RNA is filed under the name uncultured bacterium. RNAcentral describes it as "bacterial LSU rRNA". The stretch from base 1 to 186 matches the Rfam family "Bacterial small subunit ribosomal RNA", at positions 1348 to 1533 of the family's 1533-position model. The record is from RNAcentral.
UCCAGCAGCCGCGGUAAUACGUUCCCGGGCCUUGUACACACCGCCCGUCACAUCACGAAAGUCGGUUGCACUAGAAGUCGGUGGGUUAACCCGCAAGGGAGGCAGCCGCCUAAAGUGUGAUCGGUAAUUGGGGUGAAGUCGUAACAAGGUAGCUGUAGGAGAACCUGCGGCUGGAUCACCUCCUUUCUAAGGAGCAUCUCGCCCCGGAUCAAAACGGGGUUGCGAGCAAAUGCACCUAGGUCGAAAGGAAUCGGCCCGACGCGCAAGCGUAAAGGGGCAAACGUUUCCUUCGUUGUCUUUCCUCUUCAGUUUUCAGGGCAUCGACGCCCGACGCUUCUUUGAUUUUUGAAUACGGGUUGUAGAUAUAGAGAUGCACGUCAUACGUUUUUAACGUGUGGUAGCUGCAGAUCGCAUGAGAUCAAGGCACUUUAUGGUCAAGUUACUAAGGGUUGACGGUGGAUACCUAGGCACACAGAGGCCUCAGAGUUUUACCGGUCGCACGCACAAACGACGGGCCUAUAGCUCAGAUGGUUAGAGCGCACGCCUGAUAAGCGUGAGGUCGGUAGUUCGACUCUACCUAGGCCCACCAAACUCCAAUGUUGAGUGGCAACUGUUGAAUGUUGAAUGGGA